CUUAGGUCAGAUCAGCCUAAUUGAUUCUUAGGUAUCCAUGAGCUUGGACUGACCUUAUUUCUGGGUGGCAAAUGGGUGCUGGUCAUCAGUUCUAGAGUAUCCCUGAUAGAUGUUCAUUGGAGAGUAAAUUCUUGGAGAUCAUGGUUUUAAUGCGAGCUUUGUUCCUAGCGAGGUGUGUAAUUGUGGGACAGUCACAAGUCAAUUCAAUUCUUUAGGCCCUAGUGUUUCUAUGUGUAAAAGUAAGGUGGCAUGUGGGGCCACUGGUUCUCAUCCACUGAUGUGUACUUGGAUGCCUGGGAGUGUACUUUAAAAAAUAAAGUACCAAGCAAAGAUUCUGAUGUAAUUGGACUGAGGUAGGCCCAGGCCCCUUAGGUGAUACUAACAUCCAGCCAAGAUAGAAAAUCCCUGGGCUCAAUAAUCACUGAGAACCGAUUCUGAGAUUGUGUCAUCUUAGGACAGAAAGCAGGCCUGCAAAAUCUGCUUCACAUGACCUGGCCGAGCACGACAUGGGCCAGAUGGUCACCAAGUCCGAAGCGAGCAUCUCAGAAGCAGUCCAGCCCCCUUUCUCUGUGCCCCACCAUGCUCUGCUGCGUUCUCGGUCCCCCUGCAUUCUGGUGAUCAGCUGUGCCUCGAGGUCCCGGGGGACAGUUGCAUCUCCUGGGUAUCCAUGCCAGUGUUUAAUCACCUCUUGAAACUUCUCCUCCAAGUGCUCUGUGACUUGUCAGGGUGCAGGAGAAAGGUGUCAACAAGGGAUAGCGAUGAUCACCUUGAUGGCAGUGGAAAUGUGAGCUCCUCUGUCCCAGCUAAGAUAAAAAGUGGUCCUCACACCUUCUCAAGUUGUCAGAGGCGAUUGAGUUACCAGACCUGGGAGGGGGGAAAGAAAGGACGUUGUUUACCUCACUCAUUUCUUGGGACCUGAUCUCGUUGCCUUGGUGUUGUAAAUUCUGUAGCUGUUGACACUUGAAAACUUGUUCUUAGGUUUAAACUUAUAAAAGUGUGACUCAUGAUCUUCUUUGUGUCUCCUAUCCUGAAAUAGCUAGAAGACCAAAAGGGGUGUGUGUGUGUGUGUGUGUGUGUGUGUGUGUGUGUCCUCCCUGCUCUGUGUGUCUACGUGUGAGCUUGGGGCCGGGGCUCCCUGACUGUUCUUGGCAGUACCCACAGUGAACUAGCAGCCUGUACCCAGUGUUAACCAAUCCCAGGGCCAGACUUCAUUCCGGAUAAUUCCUUGGGUUGGAGAUUUCCCCCCAGUAGAGUUCUUUACCUUUGUGUCUCAGAGUUGCUGCCCUUACUCAUUGUCAAAAAUCCAACUCUCACCAGCUUAGCCACCAGCGCUGCUUGUAUUCACUGCCAUUUUUUAAAAAAACUUUUAGAAUUAGAUUCAUGUUAUGCUGAUCAUUAUUCUCAAAGAGUUCAGGGUAUUGGGCACAUGCUAUUUUAUUAUUUCAUAAUUCAUUCUUCACCCACUGCUUAAAAUGAAUUAAGGUACAAGAGUUACUAAGGAAAGAUGGAUUUGCCAUCAUAACUUUAAUGAAAAACUUAAUUAUUACUAAACUCAAAGGCCCAUGUGUUUAUAUAAACAUUUGUCCUUCCACACACCUAAUUUUUAAGAUGAUAAGACUAGUCAGGGUUAUGCUAGGCCUUAAGGUUACUACUAGUUUGCUUUUUAAAUCUUUACUUCUGCAAAAUAAUAAAGAGGUUGUAAAAUAACUAGAAAUGAUAAAGUGUUUUAACUAGUCACGGUUUCAUUGAACACUUUUGUCUCCAGAGGUAGCAGAGGUGUUGAUUUCUUCCUUUCUCCUUUCUUUCCCUCUUCCUUGAUUCUCUCAUCAUUCAACAGCUGUGGAGUGAAUCCCUACCGUGUGCCUGUCCUCGUGUGGCUCAUGUUCUUGUGGAGCAUGGAGGCGGGACAGAAAUACAAAAGUCAAAUGCAGUGCAGAUGUACUACUGUGUUUCAGACUUGACAGGCGCUGUGAAGAAAAAGAAAGAGGUGGAGUGAUCCGGGAAUAAUAACUGCUGGGUGGUACCAAACUAAGGAUCAUGGGAGGAAUCUUAAUAAACUUGUACAAAACAUACUCUUGGUUUAUACCAUAGACUGGACACAAAGUAAUUGUGCUGUUAUUGGGCUGAGUGAAGCCGUGGUGUUUUAUUGGGUCUGCUGCACAAUGUUUUGUCACAAAUCAGGAUUUGGUUGGGCGGCAGCUCAGUGGUAGAGCCCUUGCCCACCAUGUAGGAGGCAAUCAGCAUAGGUCUCCUGCAUUCAAAGUUGAGAAAGAUUUGUAAAAAUAUAGUUUUCAGUUCUUUUUAAAAAUCAGAUGUUCUAGCCGGGGAUUUAGCUCAGUGGUUCCGCUGCCUGCCUCGCAACCACAAGGUCCUGAGUUCAAUCCCUGGUACCCAAAAUAAAAAAAUCAGAUGUUCUAUAUGAAGUUCUAGAGUAGGCAAAACUAAUCCGUGAAAAAUCAGAACUGUGGUUGUGUGAUAUGGCAGAGAUUGGAUGGAGAUUAUCAAGCGAUAUUUCUCAGUAACAAGAAAUUCUUAAAUGCAUAGAAAUCCUCACUAAACCAUAUGCCUAUCCCAAUCUGCAUGUAAAUUGCAGCCUCAAUGUAAAGAAUGUCUUGAUUUUUACAUUUAAAGUAUUUUUAAUUGACAAAUCAUAAUUAUAUACAUGCAUGGGGUACGAUUUAAUGUUUUGAUCCAUGUACACAUUGUGGAGUGAUUUAAUCAGGCUAGUUAACAUAACCAUCACCUCAUUUACCUGACCUUUAUUAUAGUAAGAUUUGAAAUUUAUUCCCUUAAUUAUUUUGAUAGGAGUACAUUGUUAUUGGCUAUAUCACCCUCCUGUAAGCAGAUCUCAAAUCUUAUUCCUUUCUUAACUGAAACUUUGUAUCCUUUGCUCAACCAUGCCCCACUCCUCCCCCUGCCCUGCAGCCUCUGGUAACUCAUUAUGUUUCUAUGAGUUCAGCUUUUUAAAAGUUCAAUAUAGGGCCAGGGAUUUAGCUCAGUGGUUUCGCUGCCUGCUGCACAAUCGCAUGGACCCGAGUUCGAUCUCCGGUACCAAAAAAAAAGUUCAAUAUAAAAGUGAAAGUGGGGGGUGUUAAUCUUUCUGUGGCUGAGUUAUUUCGCUUAGCAUACUGUUGCAUAUAGCUACCACGUCUUCUCUAUCCACCCACCAGCUGAUGGGCAUUGGGCUGUUUGCAUUUCUUGGCUACUGUGGAAAAGACUGCAGUGAAUGUGGGAGUACACACCAUCUCUCUGACGUAUUGAUCGCAUUUCCUUUGGAUAAUGCUCAGGAGUGGGAAUACCAGAU
Long non-coding RNA from Heterocephalus glaber (naked mole-rat), 3304 nucleotides. The record is from Ensembl. Lineage: Eukaryota; Metazoa; Chordata; Mammalia; Rodentia; Bathyergidae.